This is a long non-coding RNA of Zonotrichia leucophrys gambelii, 3327 nucleotides long. RefSeq lists it as uncharacterized. The transcript has 2 exons. The record is from RefSeq and is a predicted model, not a curated record. NCBI's taxonomy places the organism in Eukaryota, Metazoa, Chordata, Aves, Passeriformes, Passerellidae.
GGCUUGGUACACUGCUCUCACUUCUCUUCUGUGCAGCUGCUGUUCUUCACUUCUUCCUGAGAGGACUGAACCAUCCUGAAGGGAUCCUGUUGCUUUCUGAGUGAAUUACUUCUGAUAUCUCACUUAUAAUCUGAAGCAUGGAACCAAGCCUCAUUUCAGGCAAGUUUUACUAGUUGUUUCAAUGGACUAAAUAUAAAUUGCAUGAAAAAAGAAAAGGUUGAGCAGCAAAAACCAAACCUUUCUACUGAUAUGAAGGCUUAGCCUUCUGCUGGUCUUUUUCUCAUAGAUUGCACUCAGGAGUCUGGAUGGUUUUGUGGGUGACUUCUCUUUCCAUUUCAGACAUUUAAACUCCCAUUUGAAUGAGGUUUGGUGUAGUGAGCUAAAGCAGGUCAGACUUAGUGCAUUUGAACAUUUGAACAGUGUAACAGAGUCCCACCUUCCUGUGCCUCUAUGUAAGAGCUGAGGAAUAUGUCCCAAGACCUGGAGGUACUCAAUGUCCCCAGAUCUGACAAAGGGAAGGUUGGGUCUCUGAUACAGAAAUCACCGAACCUCCUGUUUAAAUGAUGCUAAGCCUCCUCAGUUACCUUGAGACAUUUCAGAGUUAAACUUUAAAUUCAUCUUUUAUAUCUUAUUAAACUUUUUUUUUUUCAUAGAAGAAGACUGGAUAUUUGAGGUUUAGUUCAACUACUGUAAGCCAGGGACAAUCAAAACCAUAUAUUGUGAUGCGUCUCAAGUUUUCUUCCUAAUUUAUGAAGACUGUGUGGGAGAAGACAACAAUCUGUACUCAGGAGAAAUGCAGUGAAUCAGCCUGUUCCUUAUGGUGAAAUGUUCUUUUAAGCAGCUGCUGUACCUUGUAGAAAUAAAAAAUAACAACAACAACAAACAAACUCCAGAUUCCACUUUAAUAAACCUCAAAAAAAAUUAAGCUCUUGUUCUUUAAAAUACGGCACUACUGUCUACAGUCUUAAUGCGAUAUUUGUUAUUGCAUUGUUAUUGUUGGGAAACACAGCAUAAUGCUACUUCCCUUUCUAUUUGGCUGUAGAAGCAAGGGUUAUUAAUCACACUAGACUAUUAUGGAAAUUAGGGAAAGCGCAGAGAGGGAAUGGUGCAGAGACCUAUUGUCUCAGGGAAGAAUCUGGGAGGGGCUCUUCCCUAAGGAUCCCCAUAUGCAAAAAAUGAUGGUUGAGAUGCCUUUUUAGGAAACUGAGAGUAUUUUCUGCAUAGCCAGCUGGCCAGCUAGAGUCAGAGAGAGCCAAGCACAGCCCUCACUGUCUUCUAUCAGUGCUGAGCAGAAUGCCUGUCAGCAAUAACCACCACUUGCCUUGCUCAUUGACUGUGCAAGACAGAAGAGGUGACAGAACAGGUGCUUAUGCACACAGAGUCACCUGGAGAAAUGGUGAUCAGUUUAAUUUGAUCUGAGUUGUUUAUCACUCUUGGUCCCUACUCUGGGAAGUAAAGGACAGUAUGGAAAGGAGCUGGUAAACUCAGUGACAGCAUAGAGUGAUGUCUGUUCCUCUGUACCUUUUCUGGAACAGAAACCAGCUGAGGAUUUGCAGAGAUAUCCCCAAUGUAGAGGAUGGUCAGCUCUGAUUUUUGGCCUAUAUUAACUAUCUUACUGUCAUUGUGCUAAGAGCAUAACAACAUGAUUUUAUAGGUCUGGGAACUUGAUGUAAAACCUGAGGAACAUUGGGAUUAUGUUACACAGGAGACUACUUGGAAGGGUCAUAUACUCUGACAUCUCUUCUACUCAUUGUGAGAAACCCUGGAAAUAUUAAAACCAUCACCACUGAUGCCUCUGAUGGGCACAGUCCUCUGUGAUUUAUACUCUUUGAAGGCACAGUAAGAUAAUGUUCCUUUGUGCAUUCCCAUUUCACUUUCUGGUCUGAUCAGAUACAACAAUGGCCCAGAAAAUCUGACAACCUCAAUAACAACUGUUCCUGUUCACUGUGCACAUCUGCUACAAGUCUCAAGGGACUUCUAAGGCUUUGGCCAUCAGUGACUCCAUUCCAGAUUGUUGUUAUGACUACACAUAAUUGCAUUUUAAUUUAUAUGAGGAGAAAGCAUUUCAAGCUUUUGUUUUAGUGACAAAUCUAGCCUUGGUCACCCUGUCUUACAUGGUCAUUGCAGCCACAGGGGGAUUCAUCAGCCAAAGAAAGCCAGGUCCUACCAUACACGUGCCAGAGACCACCAAGAACUGCAUGUUCAUACUCAGAACUAUUUCUUGGCUCCCUGGCAACUGUUGCAUGAGGUACAAACAACUGAUGGAACUAAAUAGAAAAUGGCCAUUCAACAUUUCAUAGAAUCAUACAAUCAUUUAAAUUGGAAACUUUAUGAUCAGGAUUUGGCCACUUAGGCACCUUCCUGGCUCAUGUUCAGCUGGCUGUUGAUCAGGACUGACAGGUCCUUUUCCACUGACCAGCUUCCCAGCCACCCCAGCUUGUUGUGCUGCAUGCAGGUGUUGUGGCAGAAGGGCAGGACCUGGCACUUUGCCUUUUUGAACCUUGUACGAUUGUCCUUGACCUAUUGAUCCAGCCUAUCCAGAUUUCCCUGCAGGACCUUCCUCACCAUGAGCAUUCCUGCCCAGCUUAGUGCCAUCUGCAAACUUAACCAAGGGUGCCCUCAAUCCUCUUAUCCAAACCAUUGAUAAAAAUAUUGAACAGCGAUGACCCCACAACACAAACUGUGUUGCUGGGAACACAAUUUGUGACUGGCCACAAACUGGGUGUAGCUCCAUUCACCACCAUCUUCUGCCACCCAGACAGUUUGCAAUCCUGCUAGGAGUGCAUGCGGCCAAGCCAUGAAGCUUUUCCAGAAGAAUGUUGAGGGAGUGUCCUGGGGUGACGUUAUGAUGCUUGUAUAUCCCUAUUCAUCUGUUCUGUGCCUUUAAGACCGGCACUGAAGAGUGGAAGUUUUGUUUGGCUUUCUCUUAUCAAGACACAGAGACAAGCGGUACACAAGACUGUUUUUUCACUUCCAGCUUCAGCUUGCUGCUUUUGCUUGCUCUCUUUUUCUGCUCUUGCUUCUGCUCUGCUUUCUGCCUCUGCUUAUUAGCUAGUUCUAGCUAAACAGUCCACAUUGCUUCCUGGACUGUUUCUCCUCUCCUGUUCCUGUGACCAUCUCGAACCUGCUCCGGACUGGGACCCGGGAACACCGAAGGUUCGGCUGCAGUGGCUGGCCCAGAGCCCGAGGGACUGAGAACAGAGCAACCACCCCCGAAAGAGACUUUCUGAUUUUGUCAUCUUUCUCAAAGCGGUGUCAUUGGGUAUUGUUCAUUUUGUGUGCUGGGGGGUGCGGGGCCAGUCAAAUAAACAGGUUCUUUCCACCUUU